GUGAGGAAUAUUGGUCAAUGGACGAGAGUCUGAACCAGCCAAGUAGCGUGAAGGAUGACUGCCCUAUGGGUUGUAAACUUCUUUUAUAAGGGAAUAAAGUGAGGGACGUGUCCCUUUUUGUAUGUACCUUAUGAAUAAGGAUCGGCUAACUCCGUGCCAGCAGCCGCGGUAAUACGGAGGAUCCGAGCGUUAUCCGGAUUUAUUGGGUUUAAAGGGAGCGUAGGUUGACAUAUAAGUCAGCUGUGAAAGUUUACGGCUCAACCGUGAAAUUGCAGUUGAUACUGUAUGUCUUGAGUGUACAAGAGGUGGGCGGAAUUCGUGGUGUAGCGGUGAAAUGCUUAGAUAUCACGAAGAACUCCAAUUGCGAAGGCAGCUCACUGGGGUACAACUGACACUGAGGCUCGAAAGUGUGGGUAUCAAACAGGAUUAGAAACCCUAGUAGUCC
This 445-nucleotide ribosomal RNA is filed under the name uncultured bacterium. RNAcentral describes it as "partial 16S ribosomal RNA". It matches the Rfam family "Bacterial small subunit ribosomal RNA", at positions 354 to 796 of the family's 1533-position model. The record is from RNAcentral.